CAUAAAGUCCAGACUGAAGUCCAGCCUGAGAGUAUGAGAAUUGUGUGGGUGUUUCCAGGAUAUAAGACUAUGAUUUGAAGAUGUUGCAUUGGAGGAGACCAGGAGGGACAGAAGUGCCAUUAUUCAGGUUUUAUAAGAAGCAAACUGGAAACCAAACAAAAGUGAAAAACAAAACAAGUAAUUGAAAAUGGAAGGUUCUACAUUUCAGGACGGAUUAUGAAGCAGAUACAGCUCUCCACUGCAGGAAAAAAAGUUUCUCAGUACUGGCUCAUUAGAGCAGCUUUGGGGAUGGAAGUGAUAUGGAAUGUCGCAUGGAUCAAACAGUGGCAGAAUGGAACAGUCAAAUGAGAGCUAAGAACAAGACCUGAAGUCAGGAGAUAUGAAUUAAUUUCCCAGUUCUGCCAUCAGCUUACUUUGCCCGGCUAUAAAAUGAAGAAUAAAUACGUAUAUACCAAGGCUCUCUAAAGGUAAAUUCAACUGUAUCCAUACCCGCAAAAGAAAAGUAUAUAUAGAAAAUACUUAACUAGAAAUAUGCAAAAUAUUGGACAAGUGACAUUGUCAUCUGUGUGGCUUUUCAGAUUCCUUUUAUUUAAAAUAACGUGUGAGAGGAAAACAUAGCUAUUUAAGGAAGAAAAUAAAUCUGCCAAUCUUGUAUUGAUGAAAGAUCAACUCCUCCUUUUGUGGAAAGUAUGCUGCCUUUAGGAUGGGCAAUUUGAUGAUGCCAAUCAAGCAACUGGGGUCCACUAAUUGACUUUUCAGAAGAUAUAUGAUGAAUGCUUGUACUUAUUUGGUAGUCAGUUUGGAAAUAUAAACCUCAGAUGCUAUAAAAAAGCUGGACUUGUGGCUAAGAAAAAAUGAUCAAAAUAUGAGGGGAGGAUAGGAAGUUCACACAACAUGCACAAUAAGCAUGUUUUCUUAAAGCCACAAGAGUUUUUUUUUUUUUAAAUGUGUUUUCUAGCAUUGUCAGCUAGGAAAAAAAAAUCCAAAUUCCCCCUAUACUCAACUCUUAUUUAGUGAUGUUAUACACACAAAUAUGUUGGAAAUAUAUUGGGAAAAUUACUAAUAGAUUUUAAAAUUACAGUUGUAGGGAGACAUUUAAAUAUUGCAAUUUUAUAGGUUUAUUUUACACAACAGCUUUACAAGAUGCCCAUAUGACCUUUAAAAUCUCUGAUUAAGUUUUCCCAACUGUAAAUGGUUAAAGUUUCAGAAAGACUGAUGCUUUUAACAUAUAAAUCAUUCCUCAGAACCUGUGAUGUUAGUAGAUUUGUUGUUGUUAAUAUUUUUCUUUCCAAUAUUUGGACAAAAUAGAUACUUUAGGUACAGGAUUUUAUAAUAUAUUUAAGGUUUUUUUUUAUUAUUAUUAUUUGCCUCAGUAUAUUGCUCCAAACCUAAUUUCUAGAUGCAGGGCUAUAAUGUCUGUUAAGAGAUCAUGGGAAUAAUUUCCACAGGACUUCUAGUACUUUAAAAUUUACUAUUACCUGGACAAAUAUUAUAACUAAAUGCACUGUGAGACCUAUAGGAAUUUUUUAAAGGCAAACAACUUGUAAAAGCAGUUGGAUCUUUUUAUUUAUGUAUUUGAAAAAGACCAUAAAAAAUGCUGAGUUCUAGAAUUAUUUAAUAUUAAAAUACAUAUACACAACUGGUAGAAGAGACAACUGUGUGAAAUCAGUGAACCAGCUCAACAUGUAUUAAAGAACUAGUGUUGGGCUUUAUACUUUGUACAUAUUUAUGCUACACUGGAAUCUUAAGCAUGGGUUUUUAUUUUUCUUCUCCAAAGAUCAGCAAAAUCCUAUCAAUCUUAACUCCUUAACAUGGGUAGCUUCAUAAUAGCACAUUCUUAUAAAGUGAAAUACUUAUUGCUUAGCUUCUCUAAUCUUUUACUCGUCAUAAAACACUCAGCAUAAAACGUUGAAGAGUUCAGCUUAUUAAUGAAAGUCCAAGAUUGUGACCUUUUUUAAUAGUCCUGCAAGGGGGAUACAACGUAUUCACAUAACCCCCCAGGAGUAUAUAAUUCUGGUGAGUUGGAAAAUGAAGCCAAGGUGCUGCCUCAUUGCCCUUCUAAACGCUUUUUGGGAUAGUGUAUGUUUCUAAAAAAUUAAGAUGCAGAGUUCUUUUUCUAGAUCACAGAGGCCGCGUCUAUGUCAGAUGCUGACUCUGCAGUUAUUACUGCACAGUCAUUUAGUACUUGCAUACACAGGAACAGCAUUUAGCUGAUGUUGGAAGAUGCUGAAUAACCGAACAGCUUUUAGGUGGCACUGACUGCACAGUAGCAUUGUGUUACGCUUCAUGACAUGCAAUGCUACUGUGCAGUCAGUGUGUUGUGUAGACAUGACCAGGGUACCCAUAUCUGGUUGUCCUUAUGUGAAAAGUAACGACUCAGGGAAAGAUUCUAUCAGCAUUUUUCCUGUCUUUCUUCUCCCUACCCGUUAUAGAUGAGAAGGGCCAUAUGAUUUUUUUUUUUUUUUUUAACACACAACUUUUUUUAGUGGAAAACACAGAUUCAGUCACAACGAAGGAAAAAUCUGCUGUGUAUUUAUGUAAAUUUACCAACUUUGUUUAUUGAGGGGAAAAAAAGAAAAAUAAUAAAAAAUUCCAAAAUUAAAA
Alligator mississippiensis (American alligator) is the source of this 2604-nucleotide long non-coding RNA. RefSeq lists it as uncharacterized. The transcript is spliced from 4 exons. Lineage: Eukaryota; Metazoa; Chordata; Crocodylia; Alligatoridae. The record is from RefSeq and is a predicted model, not a curated record.